This 72-nucleotide transfer RNA is filed under the name Capra hircus (goat). It matches the Rfam family "tRNA". From Rfam's summary of the family: Transfer RNA (tRNA) molecules are approximately 80 nucleotides in length. Their secondary structure includes four short double-helical elements and three loops (D, anti-codon, and T loops). Lineage: Eukaryota; Metazoa; Chordata; Mammalia; Artiodactyla; Bovidae. RNAcentral also lists the same sequence under 1 other name. The record is from Rfam by way of RNAcentral.
UCCCUGGUAGUCUAGUGGUUAGGACUUAGCACUUUUACUACCUCGGACUGAGUUCAAUUCCUGGUCAGGGAA